AUUUUCAGGUAUUCAGGUAUUCGAGAAGCAAGUAAUAUCGGGAUCAAACGCCUUGACUGUUGUCAUGUAAAUUUCUCUCUCGAUAUAUGUAUACAGAUAAUGGUUGUAUUUGAUAUAGCUAUUGGAGGUGACAAGACCUAUGAAUACAA
Long non-coding RNA from Cotesia glomerata, 149 nucleotides. RefSeq lists it as uncharacterized. The transcript has 3 exons. NCBI's taxonomy places the organism in Eukaryota, Metazoa, Arthropoda, Insecta, Hymenoptera, Braconidae. The record is from RefSeq and is a predicted model, not a curated record.